GAUGAACGCUGGCGGCGUGCCUAAUACAUGCAAGUCGAGCGAACGGACGAGAAGCUUGCUUUUCUGAUGUUAGCGGCGGACGGGUGAGUAACACGUGGAUAACCUACCUAUAAGACUGGGAUAACUUCGGGAAACCGGAGCUAAUACCGGAUAAUAUUUUGAACCGCAUGGUUCAAAAGUGAAAGACGGUCUUGCUGUCACUUAUAGAUGGAUCCGCGCUGCAUUAGCUAGUUGGUAAGGUAACGGCUUACCAAGGGAACGAUGCAUAGCCGACCUGAGAGGGUGAUCGGCCACACUGGAACUGAGACGCGGUCCAGACUCCUACGGGAGGGAGCAGUAGGGAAUCUUCCGCAAUGGGCGAAAGCCUGACGGAGCGACGCCGCGUGAGUGAUGAAGGCCUUCGGUUCGUAAAACUCUGUUAUUAGGGAAGAACAUAUGUGUAAGUAAAUGUGCACAUAGUGACGGUACCUAAUCAGAAAGCCACGGCUAACUACGUG
RNAcentral lists this ribosomal RNA (497 nucleotides) under uncultured bacterium. RNAcentral's name for it is "partial 16S ribosomal RNA". It matches the Rfam family "Bacterial small subunit ribosomal RNA", at positions 28 to 507 of the family's 1533-position model. The record is from RNAcentral.